UACGAGGGGUGCAAGCGUUGCUCGGAAUUAUUGGGCGUAAAGGGCAAGUAGGUGGUCUGAUUUGUCUGGGGUGAAAGCCUUGAGCUUAACUCAAGAAGUGCCCCGGAAACGGUCAGACUCGAGUCCUGGAGAGGGUCGUGGAAUUCCCGGUGUAGCGGUGAAAUGCGCAGAUAUCAGGAGGAACACCGGUGGCGAAGGCGGAUCUCUGGGCCAUUACUGACGCUGAGGAGCGAAAGCGUGGGGAGCGAACAGG
Molecule: ribosomal RNA, 253 nt
Filed under: uncultured bacterium
Lineage: Bacteria
Description: partial 16S ribosomal RNA
Rfam family: Bacterial small subunit ribosomal RNA
Source: RNAcentral